Molecule: non-coding RNA, 102 nt
Filed under: Halalkalibacter okhensis
Lineage: Bacteria; Bacillati; Bacillota; Bacilli; Caryophanales; Bacillaceae
Description: Bacillus okhensis Guanine sequence
Rfam family: Purine riboswitch aptamer
About the family: Riboswitches are metabolite binding domains within certain messenger RNAs that serve as precision sensors for their corresponding targets. Allosteric rearrangement of mRNA structure is mediated by ligand binding, and this results in modulation of gene expression.
Source: Rfam by way of RNAcentral
CAAACAAUCAAAUAAAAAACUCGUAUAAAAUUGGGGAUAUGGCCCAAAAGUUUCUACCAGGCUGCCGUAAAUGGCUUGACUACGAGUGCAAAGAUAUGUCGU